Molecule: ribosomal RNA, 236 nt
Filed under: uncultured bacterium
Lineage: Bacteria
Description: partial 16S ribosomal RNA
Rfam family: Bacterial small subunit ribosomal RNA
Source: RNAcentral
GGCGGACGGGUGAGUAAUACUUAGGAAUCUGCCCAUUAGUGGGGGACAACAUUCGGAAACGGAUGCUAAUACCGCAUACGCCCUACGGGGGGAAAGCGGGGGGAUCUUCGGACCUCGCGCUAAUGGAUGAGCCUAAGUCGGAUUAGCUUGUUGGUGAGGUAAUGGCUCACCAAGGCGACGAUCCGUAGCUGGUCUGAGAGGACGGUCAGCCACACUGGGACUGAGACACGGCCCAG